Molecule: ribosomal RNA, 509 nt
Filed under: uncultured bacterium
Lineage: Bacteria
Description: partial 16S ribosomal RNA
Rfam family: Bacterial small subunit ribosomal RNA
Source: RNAcentral
GAUGAACGCUGGCGGCAUGCCUUACACAUGCAAGUCGAACGGCAGCGGGGGGAGAAGCUUGCUUUUCCUGCCGGCGAGUGGCGAACGGGUGAGUAAUACAUCGGAACGUGCCCUGUAGUGGGGGAUAACUAGUCGAAAGAUUAGCUAAUACCGCAUACGACCUGAGGGUGAAAGUGGGGGACCGCAAGGCCUCAUGCUAUAGGAGCGGCCGAUGUCUGAUUAGCUAGUUGGUGGGGUAAAGGCCUACCAAGGCGACGAUCAGUAGCUGGUCUGAGAGGACGAUCAGCCACACUGGGACUGAGACACGGCCCAGACUCCUACGGGAGGCAGCAGUGGGGAAUUUUGGACAAUGGGCGAAAGCCUGAUCCAGCAAUGCCGCGUGUGUGAAGAAGGCCUUCGGGUUGUAAAGCACUUUUGUCCGGGAAGAAAUGGCUCUGGUUAAUACCUGGGGUCGAUGACGGUACCGGAAGAAUAAGGACCGGCUAACUACGUGCCAGCCGCCGCCGUAA